AAAAUACAUUCUCAUACAUUACUCACAAUAACAUUGGUUGUGAUGUGUUAAGUUUUGGUAAAAGAUCUUGAGUGUUUAUUUUGAGUGUGAUGAGAAUCUUGAGUUUUGGAGCGGAAGCUAGAAUCUUGAAGCUUAGCAUUUUCAGAAGCAAUUAAUUUUCUAAGAGAAUGAUAGCUCGCGCCGAGAAAGUACUAUAUGAUUGAGGAAGUGUUCCAGGGACAGGCGGAUGUCAGGCGUAGAACUAUGUAUGUGUCUUAGUGGUAUUAUGGUUUUGGAUUAGUACUUGGGGGCUGAGCCGAGUUUUCUUGUAGGGUUCAAACCUAACCUAGAGACCUUCUUUUUGUGUUGGCUCAGGAGCGGUUGAGCAUUAGUUUACCCUUAUGUUUUUCAAAUUGAAGGAAAUAUUUGUAAUCAAAAUUUUAUUAAUAGAAUGGAAUUAUUCAGUCCAUUUACUCCUUCAGUUGUCAAUUUUUUUUUAAUUCCGCAAAAUUCACCCACAUUUUUGGGAAAGGUUACUAAAGUGACCCUCGAGAAAAUCGGGGAGUUACAAGGUCAGUGGGGGUUUCUGCCUCAAAAGGGUUGCACUUUUUUUAUAUUAAGGACAAAAAGCUACUACAACAAAAGAAAAUCAAGGGGAAAGGUUGUGCUUUUUUUAGAGGAGUGAAGAAAUCCUACUGUACUGACCACCACUUUUUCGGUUAUGGUUUGUAUAGAGUUUUAGAGAAUCUGAACGAUAUUGAUAGGUUUCGACGAUUUGUGAACACUCCAUACAAAGGGCAGAAAAGCUGGUAAGCUACAUUUGUACCAACAGAAACAAUUGGAGCUUUUGAUGACAUUUUUUGCCCGUUUGAAUACGUGCGCACAUGAGCGAAGGUGGCUUUUGCAGCUCUCCAUACAAAUCUCCUCAUUGUGUUCUUCCAAGUUAAUAAUGCUCUCACCCUCUUGAAUCUUGAUUUAUAAACUCCAACUCACUCCCUCUAUAUUUGUAUUUCCUCAUUGCGUUCAAUAGUGACUGGACGGUGGGUUUCUUGAAUAGUUAGUCCGGUUUUUUAUAGAGUUUCUUCACAGCAUCUGAAGUGUCCUUAUGAGUUUGCUCCGUUGAGAGGUGUGAAGAAAAUCUUCAAUACUCACCACCACUUUUCCAGUACUGGUUUGUACGGAGCUUCUCCACAACAUCUGAAGAGGCCUUAUGGGUUUACUUCAUUAAGAGGAGUGAAGAAAUCCUACUGUACUGAUCACCACUUUUCCAGUCCUGGUUUGUAUGGAGUUUCGGAGUAUCUGAACGGUAUUGAUGGGCUUCGACGAUUUGCCCAACACUCCAUACAAAGUUUAGUUGCUAAGGUACAUUUGUGAGAGAACCCUCAACCAACUGAAACAAUUGGAGCUUUCGAUGACAUUUUUGGCUCGUUUGAAUACGUGCGCACAUGAGCGAAGGUGGCUUUUCCAACUCUCCAUACAAAUCUCCUCAUUGUGUUCUUCUAAGUUAAUAAUGCUCUCACCCUCUUGAAUCUUAAUUUAUAAACUCCAACUCACUUCUUCUGUAUUUGUGGCGUUCUAUAGUGACUGGACAGUUGGUUUCUUGAAUACUUAGUCUUGGUUUUUACGGAGUUUCUUCACAGCAUCUGAAGAGUCCUCUUUGGUUUGCUCCGUUGAGAGCUAUGAAGAAAAUCUUCAGUACUCACCAGCACUUUUUUAGUACUGGUUUGUAUGGAGUUUCUUCACAACAUCUGUAGAGUACUUAUGUGUUUAAUCUAUUGAGAGGAAUGAAUAAAUCAUAUUGUAUUGACCAGCACUUUUCCGGUCCUGGUUUCUACGGAGUUUCAGAGUAUCUGAACGAUAUUGAUGAGUUUCGACGACUUGGCCACUACGCACUACGCUGGAUUUCGACAGCCGCCACAGUUGUUUGUGACAAGUGGUCGUGGUUGUGUGAUUUGCUGGUAAAGAGAUGAAAGAAGGUUGAGGGAGAAAGGAUAAAGCACACUAAAAAGUUUUAUUGUAAAAAGGUGAAUUUUGUGGUGCCCGAAAAUUAUUUUGGUGUGAUAUCCGCAUUAAGUGUUUUAUUAUAUUAUUGUCAUGUGUGAUAUGCUUUGACCGUCAAGGCUUAUUAACGACAGAGAGGGCAACAUCUAGAGAUUGUGGCCGACGAACGAUGAAAACUAUGGUCCACGUUCUAAUACCUCUGCUUUAGAUCAAUUUUUUUAUGUAUAAGAGAAGAAGGGUUUAGAAUUGUG
Molecule: long non-coding RNA, 2231 nt
Organism: Lotus japonicus
Lineage: Eukaryota; Viridiplantae; Streptophyta; Magnoliopsida; Fabales; Fabaceae
Exons: 4
Source: RefSeq, a predicted model, not a curated record